RNAcentral lists this transfer RNA (67 nucleotides) under Hemisus marmoratus (mottled shovel-nosed frog). RNAcentral's name for it is "tRNA-Tyr". It matches the Rfam family "tRNA". From Rfam's summary of the family: Transfer RNA (tRNA) molecules are approximately 80 nucleotides in length. Lineage: Eukaryota; Metazoa; Chordata; Amphibia; Anura; Hemisotidae. The record is from RNAcentral.
GGUAAUGUAGCCUAGUAGGCGGCGGGUUGUAGCCCUGAAGACAGAGGUUUUAGUCCUCUCAUCACCA